CUACGGGGUGCUGCAGUGGGGAAUAUUGCACAAUGGACGAAAGUCUGAUGCAGCAACGCCGCGUGGAGGAUGACACAUUUCGGUGCGUAAACUCCUUUUAUAUAGGAAGAUAAUGACGGUACUAUAUGAAUAAGCGCCGGCUAACUCCGUGCCAGCAGCCGCGGUAAUACGGAGGGCGCAAGCGUUACUCGGAAUCACUGGGCGUAAAGAGCGUGUAGGCGGAUAGAUAAGUCAGGAGUGAAAUCCUAUGGCUCAACCAUAGAACUGCUCUUGAAACUGUCUAUCUAGAAUAUGGGAGAGGUAGAUGGAAUUUCUGGUGUAGGGGUAAAAUCCGUAGAGAUCAGAAGGAAUACCGAUUGCGAAGGCGAUCUACUGGAACAUUAUUGACGCUGAGACGCGAAAGCGUGGGGAGCAAACAGGAUUAGAUACCCUAGUAGUC
RNAcentral lists this ribosomal RNA (439 nucleotides) under uncultured bacterium. RNAcentral's name for it is "partial 16S ribosomal RNA". It matches the Rfam family "Bacterial small subunit ribosomal RNA", at positions 339 to 795 of the family's 1533-position model. The record is from RNAcentral.